UCGUGUUGGCCAACUUAUUUUGAAGCCCAAAAAUAUCAAAUUAGCCAAGCUCAUACAAUCCCAGCCUACUACCCAAAUACCCAUUACCCUUUACUAAAACUACCACCUACAUAUAAAAAUACAUUUUUUUAGACAACCAUCAGUUCCUAGAUCAAAAAAGGAGAAAACGGCGGCUUGGGACUCCCUUCUUCUUCUCCUUCUUCAAAAAACCUUCAACACACAAUGAGAGAUCCCCCUAAUGCCUGAACUAAGCCGCCGGACCAGACCCAUCCCCAGCCAUAGCGUCGUCCUGCUCCUCUCUCAUCUCUUAAUAAAAGAAAAAGAAAAAGACACUCCCUCGAGCAAGAACACCAGCGACAUCAGCCUUCUUCUGUUUCGCCGGAGCAGCGGGUUUCGUGGCGUUACAUCUCUGUGAUCUCCUCACUUUUACUUUGUCGUAUCACACCCAAGAUCACACACGUGAAAAUACACAAACACAUUAAGAAGCUGGAAUCCGAAAAAAAAUGGUUUCAAGCAAAAAUCAAAAGUAAACUGGAAUUUGAGGUUCGAGUUUGUUGGCUUGCUGUUGCUGAGUUUCCGUUGAAGCGGUGUAGCUGAGCUCCAUCCUCUAUUUCCAUAUUUUAAUUGGUUAAAAUUUCUGGUGUUCUCUGCGUCUAGGUAUGCUCCAUGGCCAUAUGUAGCUCUUUAUCGAAUGAAUGAACAAAACCUGAUUUGUCUAUGUUGUGUUGUACGUGCUAUGUUAAAUCCAGUAUGUUCAUUCGUGAAAUCUGUGUUAAAAAAUAUGGUGAUUUCCAUGUAGAGGUGAUGCCUAAUUUCAAACUUCCAUUUUUUAUAUACUAAGUUCAAACUUCUGUACUGGUUCAUAAAUUCAAUCCGCGUUAAAUGAUAAGUAGGUGUUUAGUGUCCAUGUAACUGUUUUCUCUUUCGAUUUUUAAGCUGAUUGACUAAAUUAUGCUUUGUGUCGCUCAAUAGCUUAUUAUCUUGAAAUGAAAUGUUCCCUUUCUUGCGUGUUUGUUUAAGAUUAGUUGUUUUUUAUUUUAUUUUAUCUUAAAGCAUAAUUUUGUAGAAAUUAGUCUAAACUCAAUUUGAUAUGCUAAAUUCUUUGGCAGUAUAAAAUGACUAAAUCUUUACUUCAACAUAUCUUAUCCAUAAUUCAUGACCUUAUAACAACCCCAAAAUUAUCUUAGGAAAACAAUUGAUGAAUAUUCGUAAAAAAUACUUUAGGCGCGGUUUAAUUUAUCAUUGUGAUUAUGUAUACGUUCGCGUAACAUAAUUAUGAUUUUGUUCUAAAAAUAAAUCGAGGUGUGCCAUACACAAACAAAAAUCUACGAGCUAUGGCCCUCACAUUAGUAUUAACCUAGAUAUUAAAUAAUCAUAACACUCGUAGUUUGCUUUAGGCUCGACUUAGACUAUUAGUGUGAUUAUGUAUACGUUCGCGUAACAUAAUUGUGAAUUUAAUUCUAAAAAUAACUCAAGGUAUGCAUUCGCGCAAUUUCAACCAAACCUUUCUUAAUAAAAUAAACAAAGCAUUAUUAAUUGUGGACACGUUCGCGGGACGUAAUCUUUGACGCGCCAAAGGAAAUGAGUACACGUACGCGUAACUCAAUUCUUUAAUUACGUUUAAAUCAAGUGAUAAAAAGCUGGAAAAGGUAAGUGCACAUAGGUCCUAAAAAUGAGUAGUUUAAAUAUUUAAGCCCAGUAAUAAUCACUAAGCGACCGUGUUAGAACCACGGAACCCGGGAAUGCCUAACACCCUCUCCCGGAUUAAAAUAAUUCCUUAUCUAGAAUUUUUGGUUCGCAGACUUUUUAAUAAAGUCGAAAAUUUCCUCGAUUAGGAAUUUUAAAAUAAAUCGGUGACUUGGGACACCAAAUAAAUUAUUCCAAGUGGCAACUCUGAUAAAUUAAAUAAUUCCAUUUCGAAUAAUGUCACUUUAAUUGGAAAAACUCCCUUAGGGGUGUGUAAAAAGGAGGUGUGACAAUAGGCACCUAUAAUAUUUUUAUGAAUAUAGUCAUCUAUAAAAGUUGUGCAUUUGCUCAUUUUGUUUAUAUCGUGUGGAUCAUGCCAAAAGGAAAUAAGGGAUAACCUUAACAUACAUGAACCAGUUAUCUUGACAAUCCCUCUAACACACGACAAUUGCGACAAAAAACGUGAUGACAAAAUCAGAGUAGGGAAAACCUGUAUGAUAUUCUUGAGAAAGAUUGCAUUGUACUCCCUUAAAAUUGCAAAAUCUUACGUUGCUAAGAUAUUAAGAAAUCUCGUUUGAAUUAAUCACGUUACUACUAUAUGAAUCCUCGUAUGAAUUGGCCGAAGCCUUUAUUCCCCAUAUUGUAGAGAUAUCAAAUCUCCUUAAGUGAUUUAGAGAGAUUUUUAAAUCUUGGUGGGUGUGGGGCCCACAUAUUAGGUGACUAAGCCACAUUAUCCUCUAAAUGUGCCACCUAUAUAUGAACUUAAGAGUCAACAUUUUUGGCUUUCUUGGCUGCCAUGUUGGGGAGGGGGGUGUUUAGGCUUAUCCAAAGUCCUUAAUUAAUCACCGGUGACUUGGGACACCAAAUAAAUUAUUCCAAGUGGCAACUCUGAUAAAUUAAAUAAUUCCAUUUCGAAUAAUGUCACUUUAAUUGGAAAAACUCCCUUAGGGGUGUGUAAAAAGGAGGUGUGACAAUAGGCACCUAUAAUAUUUUUAUGAAUAUAGUCAUCUAUAAAAGUUGUGCAUUUGCUCAUUUUGUUUAUAUCGUAUGGAUCAUGCCAAAAGGAAAUAAGGGAUAACCUUAACAUACAUGAACCAGUUAUCUUGACAAUCCCUCUAACACACGACAAUUGCGACAAAAAACGUGAUGACAAAAUUGGAGUAGGGAAAACCUGUAUGAUAUUCUUGAGAAAGAUUGCAUUGUACUCCCUUAAAAUUGCAAAAUCUUAAGUUGCUAAGAUAUUAAGAAAUCUCGUUUGAAUUAAUCACGUUACUACCAUAUGAAUCCUCGUAUGAAUUGGCCGAAGCCUUUAUUCCCCAUAUUGUAGAGAUAUCAAAUCUCCUUAAGUGAUUUAGAGAGAUUUUUAAAUCUUGGUGGGUGUGGGGCCCACAUAUUAGGUGACUAAGCCACAUUAUCCUCUAAAUGUGCCACCUAUAUAUGAACUUAAGAGUCAACAUUUUUGGCUUUCUUGGCUGCCAUGUUGGGGAGGGGGGGUGUUUAGGCUUAUCCAAAGUCCUUAAUUAAUCACCCACCAAUUCCUUAAUUAACUAGUUAAUCUCUUAUUAACUAAUAAUUAACCAAUUAUCCACAUAAUUAAGAAUUAUUUCAAAUUACUUAAAAUACUACUCAGUUUUAAUAUACUUUAUGUACGCUACUAUCGGGGUCAUGGGGUACCUUGUAUGGCACUACUCCAUAAAUACUGGAUAUUAUAGCUCAGAUCGUAUUAUAUUCCAAAUUGACAAACUUUGACAAAACUCACUUUCUUCAAUUUUUUGUCCUAUCACCUUCACGAAUUUAAUUUUCACUUUUUUGGAAUAGCAUAAUACUUAUAAUCCCAAAAUAAUCUCAUUCCCGAACUUACGUCGAUUAACUUACGACAAAACUUUAACGUAUGAAAAUGCGGGAUGUAACAUCUCAUUUCCGAGUUUUCAUAAAUUCACUAAUGGCAUACUUUCAAGUACGAUAAUAUGGGGUGUAAAAUUUCCUUCCUAUCACACUAAGGUAGGAUUACCGCAGUUUGAGCAUCUCCAGCAGGGCAGUAUGUCGGUCACUCAGUACGAGACCUGUUUUGUGGAUCUAGCUCGUCAUGCCCUUAUCUUGCUUCCUACUGAUAGGGAGAGGAUGAUGAGAUUUAUUGAUGGACCCAUUUAUCCUAUUAGGCUAUUGAUGGCCAAGGAGACCGGGGGUGAGACUUCCUUUCAGACGACCACUAAUGUUGUUGGGCGGAUCGAGAUGGUUCUUGCACAGGAGAGAGGGUAUGGGUCUGAUAAAAGGCCUUGUCAUUCCGGUGGUUUUAGUGGUGCCUCAUCUGGAGGUAGGGGUACUUUUGUUAGGGGUCAUCCUCCCAGGCCAUUUCAGUCGGCGCUUUAGGCAUCCCAUAAUGCUUCAUGGGGUCGUGGUCCUUACGUGCCUUAUUCUGGGAAGCCAUCCUACAACGCACCAUCAACUCCUAUUAGUGCACCUCCAUUUAGAGCUAUCACCGUGGUUAUUCGGCCCGUUGGGGUCAGUCUCAGUUUCAGCAGCCACAACACCAUGCUGGAUGUUUUGAGUGUUGUUGUUUUUUGGCAUAUCAGGAAAACUUGUUCGAGAUUAUUGGGCAGCACGCCACAGUAGAGUUCUUGCGCCAUGGUUUUGGCACCGGUUGCACCACCACCUACCCAGCUAGAGGCAGGGGUUAAGCAGUCAGAGGUGGAGGUCAGGCCGUUAGAGGUGGAAGUCAGGCCGCUAGAGGUUAAGGUUAGGCUGCUUAAGGUGGAGACCAACCAGCUAAAGGCCAUCAUAGAGAUGUAGUACAGAGUGGUGGGGCCCAACCUCGAUGUUAUGAUUUCCUAGCUAGGCCUGAGGCUAUGUCAUCUGACACUGUUAUGACAAAUAUUGUUCCAGUUUGCCAUAGAGAUGCCUAAGUUCUAUUUGAUCUGGGCUCUACUUAUUCCUGCGUGUCAUCUAUUUUGCUUUCAUAUCUAGUUGUGCCUCGUGAUUCUUUGAGUGCUCCUGUGUAUGUGUCCACACCUGGGGGAGAUAUUAUUAUUGUAAAUCGUGUCUAUCGUUCAUGUGUGGCUACUAUUGGGAGUCUUGAGACUAGCACAGAUCUCAUACUUCUCGAUAUAGUAGAUUUUGAUAUCAUCUUGGGUGUGGAUUGGCUAUCACCUUAUCAUGCAAUAUUGGAUUGUCACGCCAAGACGGCGAUCUUAGCCUUGUCGGUGUUACCUCAAUUAGAGUGGAGGGGGACUCUUGACCAUUCUACCAGCAUGGUUAUCUCUUAUGUGAAGGCUCGGAAUAUGGUCGAGAAGGGGUGUCUAUCUUAUUUGGCUUAUGUAGAUUCUAGUGCGGAGGUUCCUUUUAUGGAUUCAGUAAGUUCGUGAGUUUCCAAAGUUGUUUCCUACAGAUCUGUUGAGGAUGCGACUCGACAGAGAUAUUGACUUCUCUAUUGAUUUGACUCCGGACACUCAGCCCAUUUAUAUUCCGCCAUACCAUAUGGCCCCACCAGAGUUGAAAGAAUUGAAGGAGCAGUUGCAUGAUUUACUUGAUAAGGGCUUCAUUAGACCUAGUGUCUCGUCCUGGGGUGCGCCUAUGUUCUUUGUGAAGCAGAAAGAUGGAACAAUGAGGAUGUGCAUAGAUUACCGGCAAUUAAACAAAGUCACCAUCAAGAACAAGUAUCCAUUGCCGAGGAUUGAUGACUUAUUUGAUCAGUUUCAGGGUGCCAAGGUAUUUUCGAAGAAUGAUUUGAGGUCUGACUACCAUCAGUUGAGGAUUAGGGCGUCCGAUGUCCCUAAGACAGCUUUUUGGACUCGAUAUGGGCAUUAUGAGUUUCUGGUGAUGUCAUUCAGGCUGACAAAUGCCCCGACAACAUUUAUGAACUUGAUGAACCGGGUGUUCAAGCCUUAUUUGGAUUCUUUUAUGAUUGUGUUCAUUGAUAAUAUCUUAAUCUACUCCCAUAGUCGAGAGGAGAACGAGCAACAUCUUAGGAUCGUAACUUCAAACUCUGAGACGGUCAGUUAUCUGCUAAGUUUUUAAAGUGCGAGUUUUGGUUGGACUCGAUCGCCUUCUUGGGGCACGUUGUAUCAACAGAGGGUAUGUAGGUUGAUCCUAAGAAGAUUGUGGCCGUCCAGAAUUGGCCAUAGCCUACUUCAGCCACAGAGAUCCGUAGUUUCUUGGGAUUGAUAGGUUAUUACCAUCAGUUUGUGGAGGGGUUUUCAUCUAUAGCAGCCUCAUUGACUAGGUUGACCCAGAAGGGUGCCCCGUUCAGAUGGUCAGACGUGUGUGAGGCAAGCUUCCAAAAGCUCAAGACAACUUUGACUACGGCGCAAGUGUUGGUGUUGCCCAUAGAUUCAGGAUCUUAUACAGUAUAUUAUGAUGCAUCUAGUAUUGUCUGGGUACGGUAUUGAUGCAGGGUGGGAAGGUUAUGGCAUCUGCUUUGCGGCAGUUGAAGGUCCACGAGAAGAAUUACCCUAUUCAUCCAUUAAUUAUAGCUCUAAUCCGUAAAAAAUAGCAUAGGAACAAAUUUUGGGUCCAAAUUCCUUACCUCAAUGAAGUUCACCUGAAAUCCCUCUUUCAAAUCGUCCAAAAUGCUCCAAACCCGAGAUAGAAAUGGUGAAAAUAGAUCAAAAAUUGUGAAGGACACAAUUUAUACCUUCUGCCCAGGCAUUUUCGCAUCUGCAACCCUAUUUACCGCUUAUGUGGUACCGCAUUUGCGGUCAACCAACCGCUUCUGCGGUUUUUCACUUAACUCACCACUUUCCGCAUCUGCGGUGCCAUUCCCGCAUCUGCAGCAUCGCAGGUGCGGUCCCUAAAACCGCUUCUGCGGUUUCCUGACACCUUAACAAAUUCUGCUUCUACGACCCCUUUCCCGCAUAUGCGGCGUCGCACCUGCGGUCCCCAAGCCGCAGGUGCGGAAAUACUAGAAGCAGCACAAUCUGCAGCUGCAACAAUUCCUCAAACUCCCCGUCAACCAUCCGAAAUCACCCCUGAGGCUCCCGGGACCUCAACCAAAAGCACCAACAUAUCCCAAAACCUUAUUCAAACUUGUACCAAUCUUCAAAAUACAUCAAACAACAUCAAACCAACCAAAACGCACCGGAUUCAAGCCUAUGUUCCCAAAAUCUUCUGAAUUCCACUUUUGAUCAAAAACCCAACUAAACCACGUCCGAAUAGCCUGAAAUUUUGCACAUACAUCCCAAAUAACAAAACGGAACUACUGCAACUCUCGAAAUCCAUUUCGACCCCUAUAUCAAAAUCUCACCUACAAAUCGAAAAUCACCGAAAUUCCACUUUCGCCAAUUCAAUCCUAAAUCUACUCCGGACCUCCAAAACUUAUUCCGAUCACGCUCCUAAGUCCCCAAUCACCUUCCAAAGCUAACUGAACCAUCGGAACUCACAUCCGAGCCCUCUAACACAUAAGUCAACAUCCGGUUGACUUUUCCAACUUAAGCUUCCUCAAAAGAGACUAAGUGUCUCAAACCUUACCAAAAUCAUUCUGUAUUAGAUCCGACCAAUCCGAUACCACAUAAAACGGAUAAUCAAAGCAUAAAAAAUAGAAAUGGGGAAAUAGAGCAGUAACUCAUGAGAUGACUGACCGGAUCGUCACAUUAUUUUUUUAAAUUAUAUAUUCGCGUGUUUAUUAUUUUUAUUUUUUGAAUCUCCUUAGUGAAAAUCUUACUUCCGCUACUGCAUUGUUGGUAGAAACGUCAUAUGAAGUGUGUCCACCGAGAGGCGAGGUGGGUAGAGACUUGUUCAUGAUUUACCUACUUUGGUUUGAUAGAACUGAUGUGGAUGCCUUUCUUGCAUGCACAACCUUUUCAUUUGUCUUGACACUAAAGAUGAACACCAACCGGUACAAAAUUAAUGUACCUGCCAGAAUGACUAGGUCUAUCCACUUUGAGUAUGUCAUUUCUAAUUGCCAUCUAUUUCUCAAGAUAUCUUCUCCAAUAAUUGUGUGUUUCCAUUCUGAUAGUCCUUAAAUUUAACCCUUCAAAUUCAUUUUUAAACAUGCAUGUUCAUCUCUAUUGUCUAUACCUCGAUUGAAUCAUAGCUUGAGUCGACGUUAUAAUAGAUAGAGCCAAGACCUAAAGCAAUGACAACAUAAGACACGAAUCACAUCCAAUAGUAGCCAAGAUCACGGAACAUGUUCACAACUAACCUCCUUGUCAAAACAAUGCUUUGUGUAGUAAAAUUCGCGUGACUUUUUUUCCCAAUAUUGCACCACCCUGAAAAUAUAUAAUGCUUGUUAGAAUGCUUCCUUCUCAUAGCCUUGCAAACAACCCCUCCUCCUUCCUUCUCUUUUGGGAGUUGCUUACCUGUUGACAUAUUUCUAAGAUAUGGUUCCGAAUUUUAUGGUAACUCUCAAAUGAUUCAUAUGAAUUUACAGAAGAUCUAGCUACUACUUUUUCAGUCUGUUUUCUUUCAGCCGAACUAUAUUCGAUAUCCUAUUAAUAGGAUGAUUGGACAUUCAGUAAAAUACAACAUUUGCCGUUUUAAUUCCUAGAAAAGGAAAGAGUAUGAUACUAUUUACAAGUUUAACUCAUAAAUGUCUUUGUUUAUUGUUUUAAGAAAAUGAUCAGACGGACUCGGA
This 8254-nucleotide long non-coding RNA is filed under the name Nicotiana tabacum (common tobacco). RNAcentral describes it as "long non-coding RNA (NTAB_LNC018297)". Lineage: Eukaryota; Viridiplantae; Streptophyta; Magnoliopsida; Solanales; Solanaceae. The record is from RNAcentral.